Molecule: ribosomal RNA, 484 nt
Filed under: uncultured bacterium
Lineage: Bacteria
Description: partial 16S ribosomal RNA
Rfam family: Bacterial small subunit ribosomal RNA
Source: RNAcentral
GACGAACGCUGGCGGCGUGCUUAACACAUGCAAGUCGAACGAUGAACCCGGAGCUUGCUCCGGCGGAUUAGUGGCGAACGGGUGAGUAACACGUGAGUAACCUGCCCUUGACUCUGGGAUAACUGCUAGAAAUGGUAGCUAAUACCGGAUACGACCCUCGGCGGCAUCGCCAGGGGGUGGAAAGAAUUUCGGUCAAGGAUGGACUCGCGGCCUAUCAGCUAGUUGGUGAGGUAACGGCUCACCAAGGCGACGACGGGUAGCCGGCCUGAGAGGGUGACAGCCCACCGUGGGACUGAGACCUGCCCCAGACUCCUAGGGGAGGCAGCAGUGGGGAAUAUUGCACAAGGGGCGAAAGCCUGAUGCAGCAACGCCGCGUGGGGGAUGCCGGCCUUCGGGUUGUAAACCUCUUUUAGUAGGGAAGAAGCGAAAGUGACGGUCCCUGCAGAAAAAGCACCGGCUAACUACGUGCCAGCCGCCGCAGUAA